Long non-coding RNA from Chelonus insularis, 3100 nucleotides. RefSeq lists it as uncharacterized. The transcript is spliced from 6 exons. NCBI's taxonomy places the organism in Eukaryota, Metazoa, Arthropoda, Insecta, Hymenoptera, Braconidae. The record is from RefSeq and is a predicted model, not a curated record.
AAUGAAUUAGUUAUUUCAAAGCCGCGCUGAUUUUAUUCAUUAUAAUUGGUUCAUCAUCGAGACUUUACUGCUCUUUGUGCAAGUUUCAUCAAGUUUAUUUGAGCCAGUAUCGUGACAACACUGUGUGCUAUUCUACUCAUUCACGAACAAGAUUUGUGGGGUUUCAUAUUAAAUUUUUUGUUUGACACAAGUAUGUUAGGUAUGAGUGAGAUGGACAAUAUUUAUUUCACGUAUAUGACUUUGUCAAGCAAUCGUGCGGUACCGGUAGUUUCAAACAAUGUCGGGGGUAAUAGCGUGUUAGGAAUGAAUCCAAGUGUAUGUUUUUUUAUCAUUUAUACUAUUUUUCAACUAUUAAUUAUUGCAAACAAUUUUUCUUGUUCUUAGUAAAUUUUUUAUCCUCAUUUGUAUGUGUGUACUAAUUUGUAAGAUUCAACUCUUAUUAUGACUAAACAUAUAAAUGAAUACUAAAAUAUUUCCAUACACGUGCAAUGAGCAUUACAUUUUUACUUUUUCCAUUAUUUGCUACAGUUUCCAAGUGACAAUAAUCUUAUAACUAACUGGACUUUCGAAUAAUUCAAAUUUAGUAGAUCUUACUCAUACUACAGAAACUGACAGGGAACCGAGUCACAUUUUCCAUCCAACACAAUUUUCUUAACAAGAUUCCACAAAAAUAAUGUUGAUUUAUUUUAUGAUUUUUUUUACAAUCAUUUUUUUUACAACUAACUAAUUUAUCAACAACAGACGCCUGCGCUUUUAGAAUGGUUAAGUAAAUCUCAAAAUGGUCUGUCUGUAAUAGAGUAUUAUAACGAACCAAAGUUAUUAAUACCUAAUUUACGAAAUAUAUUAACACGAGAAAUAUUACGCCGAGAACAUAAUUGUAAACCAGAGUGUACCACACUGCCAGCAAGUCGUUUUAUAGAAUUGGCUUAAGAAAUUUGUCAAUUAUUUUCAAGUGAAACUCCAGCUAUUUAUUACACGCCUCACAAAGCCUUGGAUUCGGGAGAAGCAGUCAAGGCUUAUGGGAAGUUGCAGUUUCAUAAUGAUUAUUUAAUUCGUGAGCGGAAUAUUAGAAAAGGAAAACUAAAGCUUCUAGCUCGAAGUGCUGAUGAAGAUGAAGAGAAUAUACCAAUUUCGAAUAAAGAAAGUGAAAAUUUGGAAUUUUUAAAGAAAUACAUUGAACCGUGGGAUCAUGUUGGAAAACUUUGGAAGCUAACGUUCCAUGAAAGACAAACUUUAUUUGUGACAUUAACAAUUGCAGAAUAUUAUUAUCUUUUUCCUUGUUUGAAACAAGAAAAAGGAUAUUUGUUGAAUUGGAUUUUGAUGUAAAAUAUCCUAAAAAGAAAAACGCUUUUUCAACUAAGUGGCCAAAAGUACGAGAUCAACUUGUGAAGUUAUUUCGAAGUCACAGACAAACCAUAGAUUUAUGUUUUGCAGCAGAAGCAAAAAAACUGCAUUAACUUAGUGAAGACGCUUUAGAUUCAGUGGCGCUGAUACUACUCUCAAAUGCGUUUCCUGAACCAUCAUUCUUAUUCAAAAAUACUGGCUCUAAGAAUAAAAAAAGAAGUAAAAAGUUAAAAACUACAAAUUCUUCGACAGAAGCGAAUGAAGUACUUAAAAAAUGAAAUCCGUCUAAAGCAGAAUCACGUGGAGGCUUCAUUCUUCAUGUGAAUGCAGAAAAUGAUGCACUCCCGAGCAUUAGUCGUCUCUCAAAUACACUAGCGACAUAUGAAUUACAAUUACAACCUAGAUCCAUCAUUUCUGGAGCUAUUGAUGAUGUCAUUGCUGCCCAUAUUUUUGUGAAUAAAACGCAAUACGAUUUGGAAUCAACAAUUCGAGCAGUUGCGGUUUGCUUUAAAAUAUAUUUCGUUUUACACGCAUUUUAUCCACCUGAAGCCAAAUCAGCUUGGCUGUUUAUACAAAAAGCAGUAUUUGAUUUGAAAUCAUUACAUGAUGGUAAAAUUCCGACUGCAGUAUCGGAAUUUUUGGAUGAGAUCAAUGUAAACCUCAAUUAAAAUUUAUUUAGUUUUUCAAAAUUUUGCCAAGUUCUAAUUAUUUUAACUGGAGAAAAGACUAUUUUUUUUUCUUUCAAAGCGAGUGCGAAUUUAAACUCCAGUUGAUGAUAUUCGUAUAGUUCAUUAUGUUUAGUUUUGUAAUAUUUCAUCAUUUUUAUGAGCAGAUUUUAAUAUUGCUAUUGUGAUAAGAAUUCUAGAAUUUCAUUAAUAAUGUCAUUUAUCUGUAAGUGUUUAAAAACUUUCAAUAUUGGUGUUGCUUUCACUAAGCAUUGUCAUAACGAGCAUACACAAGACUAUUCAGCAAAUUGUUUUCAAUGCUUAGGUGCUUGUAGUCGUAAAUAUGAUAAGUUAGAUGUAUUUCGAAAGCAUUUGUGAAAAAAUCAUCAAUUUCAAUGUCAUUCUACUAAUUUACUCACAGUAAGUAAUGAAAAUAAUGCUGACCUUGAAAUCAACAUCAAAACAGAAAACAAUAUAAAUGUUAAUGACAAAGUAUUUCCGAGUAAUACAGCUAAAUUUCCAUAUAUGUCAAAUAUUUAAAAUGAUGUCAAUUCUAAUUAUAAAAAAUAUUCUAAGAACGUUGAACAAUUAUCAUUAAUCCAAAAUCAAGUAUCACAAGUCGAUGCUAGAUUAGCUAUUACGAAUUAUGUUUAUCAAUUAGCUGCUAAAUGGUACUCUGAUAAUAAUUUAUCUCGAAAAAACAUUCAAUCAAAUAUUGAGGAUGUUGGAAAUUUCUUUAUUGAUGCUACUAAUAUUUUAUCUGAUACUGUAAUAAGUUUAUUUAGUAAGAACAAUAUUCCUAUUUCAAUUCAAACAGAUGUACAAAAAAUAUUUUCUGAUAUUCAGAAACCAUUUAAUAAUGCAGUUAGUGAGUACAUAAGCUUGAAAAAAUUUCGUGAAUCUGGAAAUUUAAUAGCUCCAGAAAAUGUUCUUCUUGGCACUAUUUCUGGGUCUAGAAUGAUCAAUGGAUAAUCACAAAUAAUUGCUGAAGAAGUAUUUGUUCAAUUUAUUUCGAUAAGACAUGUUUUACGUAUUUUUUACGAACUGCCUAAUGUUUUUAAAAAAACCCUUCUUUACAUGAAAUAUGUUAA